UACAGAGGGUGCUAGCGUUGUUCGGAAUCAUUGGGCGUAAAGGGCGUGUAGGCGGUUUGUUAAGUCAUGUGUGAAAUCCCUCGGCUCAACCGGGGAACGACGCAUGAAACUGGCAAGCUAGAGUACCAAAGAGGGGGGUGGAAUUCCCGGUGUAGCGGUGAAAUGCGCAGAUAUCAGGAAGAACACCCGUGGCGAAGGCGGCUCUCUGGGACGGUACUGACGGCUGAGACGCGAAAGCGUGGGGAGCGAACAGG
RNAcentral lists this ribosomal RNA (254 nucleotides) under uncultured bacterium. RNAcentral describes it as "partial 16S ribosomal RNA". It matches the Rfam family "Bacterial small subunit ribosomal RNA", at positions 524 to 776 of the family's 1533-position model. The record is from RNAcentral.